RNAcentral lists this non-coding RNA (24 nucleotides) under Arabidopsis thaliana (thale cress). Lineage: Eukaryota; Viridiplantae; Streptophyta; Magnoliopsida; Brassicales; Brassicaceae. The record is from RNAcentral.
GGCAACACGGAAGCCUUCCAAGGG